This 84-nucleotide transfer RNA is filed under the name Echinostoma caproni. It matches the Rfam family "tRNA". Rfam says of the family: Transfer RNA (tRNA) molecules are approximately 80 nucleotides in length. Their secondary structure includes four short double-helical elements and three loops (D, anti-codon, and T loops). Further hydrogen bonds mediate the characteristic L-shaped molecular structure. tRNAs have two regions of fundamental functional importance: the anti-codon, which is responsible for specific mRNA codon recognition, and the 3' end, to which the tRNAs corresponding amino acid is attached (by aminoacyl-tRNA synthetases). tRNAs cope with the degeneracy of the genetic code in two manners: having more than one tRNA (with a specific anti-codon) for a particular amino acid; and 'wobble' base-pairing, i.e. permitting non-standard base-pairing at the 3rd anti-codon position. Lineage: Eukaryota; Metazoa; Platyhelminthes; Trematoda; Plagiorchiida; Echinostomatidae. The record is from Rfam by way of RNAcentral.
AGCCUCGUAGCUCAACUGGUAGAGCGUAUAAUUUAUAAAAGAGCAGGCGGCGUCCAUUUGUGGGUUCGAAUCCCACUGAGGCUA